Molecule: ribosomal RNA, 482 nt
Filed under: uncultured bacterium
Lineage: Bacteria
Description: partial 16S ribosomal RNA
Rfam family: Bacterial small subunit ribosomal RNA
Source: RNAcentral
AUUGAACGCUGGCGGCAUGCCUUACACAUGCAAGUCGAACGGUAACGGGCCUUCGGGUGCCGCCGAGUGGCGAACGGGAGAGUAAUACAUCGGAACGUGCCCGAUCGUGGGGGAUAACGAGGCGAAAGCUUUGCUAAUACCGCAUACGAUCUACGGAUGAAAGCAGGGGACCGCAAGGCCUUGCGCGGACGGAGCGGCCGAUGGCAGAUUAGGUAGUUGGUGGGAUAAAAGCUUACCAAGCCGACGAUCUGUAGCUGGUCUGAGAGGAUGAUCAGCCACACUGGGACUGAGACACGGCCCAGACUCCUACGGGAGGCAGCAGUGGGGAAUUUUGGACAAUGGGCGCAAGCCUGAUCCAGCCAUGCCGCGUGCAGGAUGAAGGCCUUCGGGUUGUAAACUGCUUUUGUACGGAACGAAAAGCCUUCUUUUAAUACAGGAGGGUCAUGACGGUACCGUAAGAAUAAGCACCGGCUAACUACGUG